GAUGUUCAGAACGAUGUCGUCGGUUAGUUCCGAAAACAGGUUCUUCUUCUUUUCAAUUUCACUAUCCAUCUUCUUCUCUUUCUCUUUCUCUCACAACUCCAUUAUUAUUUAUUUAUCGGACACAGCACUACUGACAAAGCAACACACACCACACGAAUCAGGUCCAGAAAAAAGAGCUAUUAAAAUAAUGCUUUUUAUUUACUUCCACAGAUUUUUUCAGUGCUUUUCUCAUUUACGUCACCUUUUAUUAUGAAUAAUGAUAAAAAUAUCUGUCCAAGUGGAAUAACUCGAUAAAGAUUUUUUUUAUUAAGAAUGGUGGAAACUGGAAAAGCGGGCUUUUUUUUAUAUUUUACAGUUGGAUUUACUAGCUGUGUAAGUAAUUGUGUAAAACAAAAAAAGUUGUGUAAUUAAUUGCGUUUUUAACUAAAAAAUAAAAACAGAAGGUAGUCAAGGAAGUUUUUAGGAUAGUCGUUGUUGUGAUUGUUGAACAAUAAAUCAACCUAAUGUGUAUUUUUUUUAAUUAGAGAUUACAUGUGUUUCUGCAUAUAAUAUAAUUUAUGGGAUUAGAGAUUAAUUUUAUUUAUAAUAUAAUUUGUAAUUGUUGUUGAUGGAAUAAUUUUUUUAAAAAAAACCAACAUGAAUUCUCCUAGGCACUUGAAUUAUUUUUGGGUAGAGAUCAUAAACAUGUUUUUAUUGAAAAUAAUUUUAUUUAAGUCAAAUAAGAUAGGAUAAUUAUUAGUAACAAUUUUUUUCUUCAAAAUAUUUAACAUAAACACAUUAUUAAAAUUUGAACUCCAUAUUAUUUGAAGCAACUUAUUGGUAACAAUGUAUUAAAAAUGAGAAAAAAAUUUAUAUGUCAUUCAAUUACAAUCCACCAUUCAUCAUGUAUGAUAAAUUAAAAAUAAGUUAUAAUUAAAUGGUGUACACUACGUUGAUGCAUAAUAGUUAAACUCGUUAGAAAUUAGGUAGAAGUUGGAUUGGUAUUUUUUUUUUUUUUUUGCUAAUAUUUUUAAACAAUUAUUCUUGAAUAUUUAUAGAUUUCGAAAUAACAAUUUACACAAUUAAAAAUUUGAGUAUAUUAAUAUUUUUUUAAUAUAUAAAAACCAAAAUAAGAAUAAAACUAAACUUAAUGUGAUAUCUUAUUCUUGAAUUAAAAUUAAAAUUUUAUUUUAUUAAAUAGUUUUAAUAUUUUUUUAUUGUGCAAGUUAAUAAACUUAUACUCAAAUUUUAAUUAGCAGACAAUACUUAAAAAGUUUAAGGUAACGUAUCUAAGUUAGUAUUUUUUUAAGUUACAUCAGAAUAUAUUAUUUAUAUAUCCUUUUGUUUUUACUAAUUAUUCAUGUAUUCUUAUAUGCAUAAGCCUGUUACCUGUGUCCUACAAGGAACAUCAGAAUAACAUUUUUAUACUGAUUCUUUUAAUACCUUUUCAUCAAUAAUAUUAACUUACCAUUAAAAGAAUCUAGAACAAGAAUAACAUUAUUGGUUUCCCUUUUCACUUUAAAAGAUGUUAUUUAAUUUUUAAAUUAAUUUUUGCAUCAUGCAUAUGAUAAAUGCUAACUAAGUUAAAAUAAAAUUUAUGGAAUACAUAAUUAGUUAAGUACACAAAAAAUAUUUAAUAAUUACUUUGAAGCUAAAAAUACUUAACAAAAUAUAACUUUUGUAGAAAUGAGAAUGAAACUUUCUUGAAAAUAAAGAUACCCAAGAUAUUUUAUGAUAAUCACCUAAUAAAUAUGAGAAUAAACAUUCUCACCUUCCUAUUUUAGUGAAUGCAAAAUAUUCCAUAAAAUAAACGUCCUCUAAGAUCAUGUAAGAGGUUGAUGUCUUCCAACAAUUGACUUAAGAUCGAAACCUGACUAGAUGCUUAAAUUUCAUUUCUUUCCUUCAUUUCACCGUAAUCCUAUCUGUUCGUUUUUCUUAUGAGUCUACUCAAUUUUUUUCACGAGAAACUUGAGAAUUAUAUUAAAAAGAAGUAGCAAAGAUUUUUGGCAAUAAUUAUAAAAAAUUGACCAAAAUGUUUGAAUAAAAGGAAUGAAGAAAGUGGCAGAUAGAAAGAAAACACAAAAAUUACAAGGGGCACCACACGUGUCUUGUGAAACACCAGUUUAUAAUUUAUAAUUUAUCUUUUAUCUUUAUUCACAGUGAAAUAGUGUGGCAACAGAGAAAGAAGGCAGUCAAAGACACAGGUGAAAUGAGUAACAGAAAUAAUGGGAAGGAAAAAAGAAUGAAUGGGGUCCAUGAGUGAUGAAGGAGCAAAGGAGGAGAGUGAAGAGGAACAGCACAUGACAUGAAAUAAAGAUAAAGCAGAACCACACAAGGAGGACAGGCCAACAACCACCAGUGAUGCUUCGUCAUGUUUAAGAUCACUGGUCAGUCACCGUUCCCUACUUUUAAUUCGACUUGACAAUCAACUUGUCCCUAUAUGCCAACCCCCUUUAGGCUUUAGCACUUCAUUUCCUUAUCUCCACAAUCUCCAUAAAACAUGCAAUCUCUUAUCCAACUGACCAACAAAACACACAAACGCCUUUGAUAUCAAACCUCAACUACUUUCACCCCCAUAAAAAAAAAUCAUUGGCUGAAGGAGAAUACACAAC
This 2591-nucleotide long non-coding RNA is filed under the name Glycine max (soybean). RNAcentral's name for it is "long non-coding RNA (GMAX_LNC000691)". Lineage: Eukaryota; Viridiplantae; Streptophyta; Magnoliopsida; Fabales; Fabaceae. The record is from RNAcentral.